AGUGAACGCUGGCGGUAGGCCUAACACAUGCAAGUCGAACGACAGCACAGUAAGAGCUUGCUCUUACGGGUGGCGAGUGGCGGACGGGUGAGGAAUACAUAGGAAUCUACUUUUUCGUGGGGGAUAACGUAGGGAAACUUACGCUAAUACCGCAUACGACCUACGGGUGAAAGCAGUGGAUCUUCGGACCUUGCGCGAUUGAAUGAGCCGAUGUCGGAUUAGCUAGUUGGCGGGGUAAAGGCACACCAAGGCGACGAUCCGUAGCUGGUCUGAGAGGAUGAUCAGCCACACUGGAACUGAGACACGGUCCAGACUCCUACGGGAGGCAGCAGUGGGGAAUAUUGGACAAAGGGCGCAAGCCUGAUCCAGCCAUACCGCGUGGGUGAAGAAGGCCUUCGGGUUGUAAAGCCCUGUUGUUGGGAAAGAAAAGCAGCAGGUGAAUACCCCGCUGUUCUGACGGUACCCAAAGAAUAAGCACCGGCUAACUUCGUG
This 492-nucleotide ribosomal RNA is filed under the name uncultured bacterium. RNAcentral describes it as "partial 16S ribosomal RNA". It matches the Rfam family "Bacterial small subunit ribosomal RNA", at positions 29 to 507 of the family's 1533-position model. The record is from RNAcentral.